GACGAACGCUGGCGGCGUGCUUAACACAUGCAAGUCGAGCGAGAAACUUCGGUUUCUAGCGGCGGACGGGUGAGUAACACGUGGGCAACCUGCCUCACAAUGGGGGAUAGCCUUCCGAAAGGAAGACUAAUACCGCAUAACACAAAGGAAACGCAUGUUUCUUUUGCCAAAGAAUUUCGUUGUGAGAUGGGCCCGCGGCGCAUUAGCUUGUUGGUGAGGUAACGGCUCACCAAGGCGACGAUGCGUAGCCGACCUGAGAGGGUGAUCGGCCACAUUGGAACUGAUGCACGGUCCAGACUCCUACGGGAGGCAGCAGUGGGGAAUAUUGCACAAUGGAGGAAACUCUGAUGCAGCAACGCCGCGUGAGUGAUGAAGGUCUUCGGAUUGUAAAGCUCUGUCUUCUGGGACGAUAAUGACGGUACCAGAGGAGGAAGCCACGGCUAACUACGUGCCAGCAGCCGCCGUAA
Molecule: ribosomal RNA, 467 nt
Filed under: uncultured bacterium
Lineage: Bacteria
Description: partial 16S ribosomal RNA
Rfam family: Bacterial small subunit ribosomal RNA
Source: RNAcentral